This 305-nucleotide ribosomal RNA is filed under the name uncultured bacterium. RNAcentral describes it as "bacterial SSU rRNA". It matches the Rfam family "Bacterial small subunit ribosomal RNA", at positions 333 to 636 of the family's 1533-position model. The record is from RNAcentral.
UUACUCCUACGGGGGGCAGCAGUGAGGAAUAUUGGUCAAUGGACGCAAGUCUGAACCAGCCAAGUAGCGUGCAGGAUGACGGCCCUCCGGGUUGUAAACCUCUUUUGUCAGGGAGCAAAGGGCGCCACGUGUGGCGUUUUGCGAGUACCUGAAGAAAAAGCAUCGGCUAACUCCGUGCCAGCAGCCGCGGUAAUACGGAGGAUGCGAGCGUUAUCCGGAUUUAUUGGGUUUAAAGGGUGCGCAGGCGGAAUGUCAAGUCAGCGGUAAAAUUUCGGGGCUCAACCCCGUCGUGCCGUUGAAACUGG